This 305-nucleotide ribosomal RNA is filed under the name uncultured bacterium. RNAcentral describes it as "bacterial SSU rRNA". It matches the Rfam family "Bacterial small subunit ribosomal RNA", at positions 333 to 655 of the family's 1533-position model. The record is from RNAcentral.
UUGUGCCUACGGGAGGCAGCAGUGGGGGGUAUUGCACAAUGGGGGGAACCCUGAUGCAGCGACGCCGGGUGGGUGAAGAAGCGCCUCGGCGCGUAAAGCCCUGUCAGCAGGGAAGAAAAUGACGGUACCUGAAGAAGAAGCCCCGGCUAACUACGUGCCAGCAGCCGCGGUAAUACGUAGGGGGCAGGCGUUAUCCGGAUUUACUGGGUGUAAAGGGGGCGCAGACGGCGAUGCAAGCGAGGAGUGAAAGCCCGGGGCCCAACCCCGGGACUGCGCUUGGAACUGCGUGGCUGGAGUGCAGGAGG